Molecule: long non-coding RNA, 420 nt
Organism: Rhinopithecus roxellana (golden snub-nosed monkey)
Lineage: Eukaryota; Metazoa; Chordata; Mammalia; Primates; Cercopithecidae
Exons: 2
Source: RefSeq, a predicted model, not a curated record
CAGCCAGCCUGCUGGGCCCCGGCCCCUGACCCCAAGGCUUCAGGAAGAGGCUCCCACACACACACACCUGCGGUGUGCGAAGCUCACAUUGUUCUGGGCUCACAGCCUGAGCAAGGCCCCUUGCUCUCAGGAGCCUCCAGCUCUUUCUGGACCUGAGCCCCGGGAGCCUUCACUCCGCCCAGAUGUGCUUCCUGUGGAAGGAGACCCGCAGAUGACACAGAAAAUCUGAGCAGCAGGUGAGUCCGAAGGACUGCCCGGAACCCCAGAGCAUGGCAGUGGGCGAGCAGACCUCCCUGUCCUGGGCAUCCCUGUGGCCAUGGAGCUUCUGGGUGAACAGCUGCUCUGAGACAAGUCUGGUGAAGAACACAGCAGGACUCCUGAACAUCCUUCGUUAAAAUAAACAUUUAUCUAUGGAAACCA